GGAGAAGUGACCGAGUGGUCGAAGGUGCACGACUGGAAAUCGUGUGUACGUCAAAAGCGUACCGUGGGUUCGAAUCCCACCUUCUCCGCCA
RNAcentral lists this transfer RNA (91 nucleotides) under Hydrogenophilales bacterium. RNAcentral describes it as "tRNA-Ser". It matches the Rfam family "tRNA". From Rfam's summary of the family: Transfer RNA (tRNA) molecules are approximately 80 nucleotides in length. Their secondary structure includes four short double-helical elements and three loops (D, anti-codon, and T loops). Further hydrogen bonds mediate the characteristic L-shaped molecular structure. tRNAs have two regions of fundamental functional importance: the anti-codon, which is responsible for specific mRNA codon recognition, and the 3' end, to which the tRNAs corresponding amino acid is attached (by aminoacyl-tRNA synthetases). tRNAs cope with the degeneracy of the genetic code in two manners: having more than one tRNA (with a specific anti-codon) for a particular amino acid; and 'wobble' base-pairing, i.e. permitting non-standard base-pairing at the 3rd anti-codon position. Lineage: Bacteria; Pseudomonadati; Pseudomonadota; Hydrogenophilia; Hydrogenophilales. The record is from RNAcentral.